Molecule: ribosomal RNA, 253 nt
Filed under: uncultured bacterium
Lineage: Bacteria
Description: partial 16S ribosomal RNA
Rfam family: Bacterial small subunit ribosomal RNA
Source: RNAcentral
UACGUAGGGUGCGAGCGUUAAUCGGAAUUACUGGGCGUAAAGCGUGCGCAGGCGGUUGUGCAAGACAGAUGUGAAAUCCCCGGGCUUAACUUGGGAACUGCAUUUGUGACUGCACGGCUAGAGUGUGUCAGAGGGGGGUAGAAUUCCACGUGUAGCAGUGAAAUGCGUAGAUAUGUGGAGGAAUACCGAUGGCGAAGGCAGCCCCCUGGGAUAACACUGACGCUCAUGCACGAAAGCGUGGGGAGCAAACAGG